This is a long non-coding RNA of Nematolebias whitei (Rio pearlfish), 230 nucleotides long. RefSeq lists it as uncharacterized. Lineage: Eukaryota; Metazoa; Chordata; Actinopteri; Cyprinodontiformes; Rivulidae. The transcript is spliced from 3 exons. The record is from RefSeq and is a predicted model, not a curated record.
UGAGCGAAGCAAGGAAAGUCUACAUCUUACACGGCAUAAGGGAUGAUUUGCGGGUGGAUGGAAGAGGCUGUGAGGACUACAGACACAUGGAAAUAGAGACAGAUGUGGUGUCCAACACAGACGGAUCAGCUAAAGCCACUGGGGGACACAGCAGUUCUUGUUGGGAUCAAGGCUGAAAUUGGCAAACCGAGGCCAAUGAUACCAAACGAGGGAUACCUGGAGUUCUUUGU